Pan troglodytes (chimpanzee) is the source of this 93-nucleotide transfer RNA. It matches the Rfam family "tRNA". From Rfam's summary of the family: Transfer RNA (tRNA) molecules are approximately 80 nucleotides in length. Their secondary structure includes four short double-helical elements and three loops (D, anti-codon, and T loops). NCBI's taxonomy places the organism in Eukaryota, Metazoa, Chordata, Mammalia, Primates, Hominidae. The record is from Rfam.
CCUUCAAUAGUUCAGCUGGUAGAGCAGAGGACUAUAGCUACUUCCUCAGUAGGAUACGUCCUUAGGUCGCUGGUUCGAUUCCAGCUUGAAGGA